GGCAUUUGGUGAACCUUGGUCUUAGCAAUGCAGAUUAAACAGGCCAAAGGGUGCUUCCAGACCUUCACUGGAGCUUCCGGAGUGGCGAGUUUGUCUUUUCUUUCUAUGCAGGCUUCUCGGCAUUCUUAGAGGAGCUAGGAUCCCAUUCUCUUCCUUCUGUGGAAGCUGAGAGCUUUUCUAGGGAUUCUAUUAUUUCACUUCUCAGCUCAUCCUCGGAUUCUUCAAACUUUCUGGAAUAACAAGCAGUCAGAGCCAAUGUUACAACCUAAAAGCACAAAGAGAAAAACUAGUCUCCUUUUUCGUGUCUGCUUCCGCCCAGCCGUUAAUGCUGGGCUUCCAGCAGAUAACGUUUUCUGUCAGUUUGGCCUGGGAAGGGAGGUGUCUGUGACUGACUGUGUGCAGGUGCGAUUGCCUAUAGCCAUUCAUGCAGCAGCCGGAGGAGGAUAUGGGGUGUCCGGCUCUACCAAUCUACAUCCUUCCUUCAAGACAGCGUCUCUCAUUAAACUUAGAACUAGCUAAGCCAACCCUCCUAACUGUCUCUACUCACAACCUGGGUCGCAGGCAGACAAAGUCAUGCCUGUUUCAGGUGGGUGAUGAGAUCCAAACUUGGGUCCUAUUAGAAAAAACAAA
RNAcentral lists this long non-coding RNA (630 nucleotides) under Rattus norvegicus (Norway rat). Its description in RNAcentral is "long non-coding RNA NONRATT012097". Lineage: Eukaryota; Metazoa; Chordata; Mammalia; Rodentia; Muridae. The record is from RNAcentral.